CCUACGGGCGGCAGCAGUGGGGGAUAUUGCACAAUGGGGGGAACCCUGAUGCAGCGACGCCGCGUGGGUGAAGGAGUGCUUCGGCAUGUAAAGCCCUAUCGGCAGGGAAGAAGCAAGACGGUACCUGACUAAGAAGCCCCGGCUAACUACGUGCCAGCAGCCGCGGUAAUACGUAGGGGGCGAGCGUUAUCCGGAUUCACUGGGUGUAAAGGGAGCGUAGACGGCCAUGCAAGCCAGGGGUGAAAGCCCGGGGCCCAACCCCGGGACUGCCCUUGGAACUGGGCGGCUAGAGUGCGGGAGGGGCAGGCGGAAUUCCUGGUGUAGCGGUGAAAUGCGUAGAUAUCAGGAGGAACACCGGCGGCGAAGGCGGCCUGCUGGACUGCGACUGACGUUGAGGCUCGAAAGCGUGGGGAGCGAACAGGAUUAGAUACCCCUGUAGUC
This 441-nucleotide ribosomal RNA is filed under the name uncultured bacterium. Its description in RNAcentral is "partial 16S ribosomal RNA". It matches the Rfam family "Bacterial small subunit ribosomal RNA", at positions 338 to 795 of the family's 1533-position model. The record is from RNAcentral.